AACGAACGCUGGCGGCAUGCCUAACACAUGCAAGUCGAACGAGACCUUCGGGUCUAGUGGCGCACGGGUGCGUAACGCGUGGGAACCUGCCCUUAGGUUCGGAAUAACUCCCCGAAAGGGGUGCUAAUACCGGAUAAUGUCUUCGGACCAAAGAUUUAUCGCCUUUGGAUGGGCCCGCGUUGGAUUAGCCAGUUGGUAGUGUAAAAGCCUACCAAGGCGACGAUCCAUAGCUGGUCAGAGAGGAUGAUCAGCCACACUGGGACGGAGACACGGCCCGGACUCCUAGGGAAGGCAGGAGUGGGGAAUAUUGGAGAAUGGGGGAGGGCCUGAUAGAGCAAUGGUGCGAAAGUGAUGAAGGCCUUAAGGUUGUGCAGCUCGUUUACACGCGGUGAUAAUGAAGGUACCGGAAGAAUAAGCACCGGCUAACUCCGUG
RNAcentral lists this ribosomal RNA (433 nucleotides) under uncultured bacterium. Its description in RNAcentral is "partial 16S ribosomal RNA". It matches the Rfam family "Bacterial small subunit ribosomal RNA", at positions 29 to 507 of the family's 1533-position model. The record is from RNAcentral.